RNAcentral lists this ribosomal RNA (468 nucleotides) under uncultured bacterium. Its description in RNAcentral is "partial 16S ribosomal RNA". It matches the Rfam family "Bacterial small subunit ribosomal RNA", at positions 28 to 507 of the family's 1533-position model. The record is from RNAcentral.
GACGAACGCUGGCGGCGUGCUUAACACAUGCAAGUCGAACGGAAAGGCCCUGCUUUUGUGGGGUGCUCGAGUGGCGAACGGGUGAGUAACACGUGAGUAACCUGCCCUUGACUUUGGGAUAACUUCAGGAAACUGGGGCUCAUACCGGAUAGGAGCUCCUGCUGCAUGGUGGGGGUUGGAAAGUUUCGGCGGUUGGGGAUGGACUCGCGGCUUAUCAGCUUGUUGGUGGGGUAGUGGCUUACCAAGGCUUUGACGGGUAGCCGGCCUGAGAGGGUGACCGGCCACAUUGGGACUGAGAUACGGCCCAGACUCCUACGGGAGGCAGCAGUGGGGAAUAUUGCACAAUGGGCGGAAGCCUGAUGCAGAAACGCCGCGUGCGGGAUGACGGCCUUCGGGUUGUAAACCGCUUUCGCCUGUGACGAAGCGUGAGUGACGGUAAUGGGUAAAGAAGCACCGGCUAACUACGUG